GCCUGGGUGGCUCAGUCGGUUGAGCAUCUGACUUCGGCUCAGGUCACGAUCUCACGGUUCGUGAGUUCGAGCCCCGCGUCGGGCU
Molecule: transfer RNA, 85 nt
Filed under: Felis catus (domestic cat)
Lineage: Eukaryota; Metazoa; Chordata; Mammalia; Carnivora; Felidae
Rfam family: tRNA
About the family: Transfer RNA (tRNA) molecules are approximately 80 nucleotides in length. Their secondary structure includes four short double-helical elements and three loops (D, anti-codon, and T loops).
Source: Rfam by way of RNAcentral